Molecule: ribosomal RNA, 433 nt
Filed under: uncultured bacterium
Lineage: Bacteria
Description: partial 16S ribosomal RNA
Rfam family: Bacterial small subunit ribosomal RNA
Source: RNAcentral
AACGAACGCUGGCGGCAUGCCUAACACAUGCAAGUCGAACGAGACCUUCGGGUCUAGUGGCGCACGGGUGCGUAACGCGUGGGAACCUGCCCUUAGGUUCGGAAUAACUCCCCGAAAGGGGUGCUAAUACCGGAUAAUGUCUUCGGACCAAAGAUUUAUCGCCUUUGGAUGGGCCCGCGUUGGAUUAGCUAGUUGGUAGGGUAAAAGCCUACCAAGGCGACGAUCCAUAGCCGGUCUGAGAGGAUGAUCAGCCACACUGGGACUGAGACACGGUCCAGACUCCUACGGGAGGCAGCAGUGGGGAAUAUUGGACAAUGGGCGAAAGCCUGAUCCAGCAAUGCCGCGUGAGUGAUGAAGGCCUUAGGGUUGUAAAGCUCUUUUACCCGGGAUGAUAAUGACAGUACCGGGAGAAUAAGCUCCGGCUAACUCCGUG